UCCUACGGGGGGCAGCAGUGGGGGAUAUUGCACAAUGGGGGGAACCCUGAUGCAGCGACGCCGCGUGGGUGAAGGAGCGUUUCGGCGCGUAAAGCCCUAUCGGCAGGGAAGAAGAUGACGGUACCUGACCAAGAAGCCCCGGCUAACUACGUGCCAGCAGCCGCGGUAAUAUGUAGGGGGCAAGCGUUAUCCGGAUUUACUGGGUGUAAAGGGGGCGCAGACGGCAAUGCAAGCCAGGAGUGAAAGCCCGGGGCCCAACCCCGGGACUGCUCUUGGAAUUGCGUGGCUGGAGGGCAGGCGGGGCG
This 305-nucleotide ribosomal RNA is filed under the name uncultured bacterium. RNAcentral's name for it is "partial 16S ribosomal RNA". It matches the Rfam family "Bacterial small subunit ribosomal RNA", at positions 337 to 659 of the family's 1533-position model. The record is from RNAcentral.